This 253-nucleotide ribosomal RNA is filed under the name uncultured bacterium. Its description in RNAcentral is "partial 16S ribosomal RNA". It matches the Rfam family "Bacterial small subunit ribosomal RNA", at positions 524 to 776 of the family's 1533-position model. The record is from RNAcentral.
UACAGAGGGGGCCAGCGUUAUUCGGAAUUAUUGGGCGUAAAGGGCGCGUAGGCGGCCAUGCGUGUCUUCCGUGAAAUCCCUCGGCUUAACCGGGGAACUGCGUCUGAUACUGGAUGGCUUGAGUUCGGGAGAGGGAUGCGGAAUUCCAGGUGUAGCGGUGAAAUGCGUAGAUAUCUGGAGGAACACCGGUGGCGAAGGCGGCAUCCUGGACCGACACUGACGCUGAGGAGCGAAAGCCAGGGGAGCAAACGGG